RNAcentral lists this transfer RNA (74 nucleotides) under Butyrivibrio sp. ob235. Its description in RNAcentral is "tRNA_Gln_TTG". It matches the Rfam family "tRNA". Rfam says of the family: Transfer RNA (tRNA) molecules are approximately 80 nucleotides in length. The record is from RNAcentral. Lineage: Bacteria; Bacillati; Bacillota; Clostridia; Lachnospirales; Lachnospiraceae.
UGCGGUAUGGGGUAAUGGUAGCCCACAGGAUUUUGGUUCCAGUAAUCUUGGUUCGAUUCCAAGUACCGUAGCUA